Zea mays is the source of this 2162-nucleotide long non-coding RNA. RefSeq lists it as uncharacterized. Lineage: Eukaryota; Viridiplantae; Streptophyta; Magnoliopsida; Poales; Poaceae. The transcript is spliced from 6 exons. The record is from RefSeq and is a predicted model, not a curated record.
GGGAGUAGCAGCACGUCCACUUUCACUCUCACAAUAACGCCACCCAGGCGCAGCCACGAUUUAAUUAGAAACUUAUUGUCAAAGGAAGUUUGUUUUUUUUAACUAGUCGUGCGCACUAGUUAAUUCACUUCACGUCGUAUGUUUAACUUCUCUUUGCUAGCCGAUUAAUAAUACUUAGUAUGUUUUUGUCAUGAUAUAUGUUUAUACACUGUUGCCCCCUCAUUUAUGCAAUUUUGCAAGGGGGAUGCUGCCGAAAUUUUAUAUAUAGAUGUCAGAAGUGUUGUUUAGUAGCAUUCCGGGGUGUUGGUGGACCCCGAGGUGUUACAGAAGGUGCACUUUGUUGUUGUUAGUCAGGUAAGACAGUGUUGUGUUCAUAUGCUUGUUGAAAACCUGAAAGUCUUUCGAGUUACCUCAUCAUGGAGGAGAAGACAUGCAAUGGUCGUCUUUUGUUUUUCAGUUUUCACUGUUGCACUUUUAUUGCAAGAUCGCGUUGCAGUGAUCAUGUCUUUUUAUUUGUCUUUUUGAUAUAUAUACAGAAAACACUAUAUGGACUCUCGGAGAGGAUUGCUGAUCUGCAUGAAUCUAUCGCACAAAAGAAGGCUGAACUGGGAGUUGUCUAAAUAGGAUGGAGAAUGUGCACUUUGUUGUUGGUAGUCAGGAAAGAUAGUGUUAUGUUCAUAUGCUUGUUGAAAACCUGGAAGUAUUUCGAGUUACCUCAUCAUGGAGGAGAAGACAUGCAAUGAAAACAGUAUAUGAACUCUUGGAGAGGAUUGCUGGUCUGCAUGAAUCUAUCGCACAAAUGAGACUGAACUGGGAGUUGUCUAAAUAGAAUGGAGAAGGUGCACUUUGUUGUUGGUAGUCAGAAAACACUAUAUGGACUCUCGGAGAGGAUUGCUGAUCUGCAGAAAUCUAUCGCACAAAAGAAGGCUGAACUGGGAGUUGUCUAAAUAGGAUGGAUAAGGUGCACUUUGUUGUUGUUAGUCAUGUAAGACAGUGUUGUGUUCAUAUGCUUGUUGAAAACCUGGAAGUCUUUCGAGGUACCUCAUGAUGGAGGAGAAGACAUGCAAUGGUCGUCUUUUGUUUUUCAGUUUUCACUAUUGCACUUUUAUUGCAAGAUCGUGUUGCAGUGAUCAUGUCUUUUUAUUUGUAUUUUCGAUAUAUAUACAAAAACACUAUAUGGACUCAAGGAGAGGAUUGGUGAUCUACCGGAAUCUAUCGCACAAAAGAAGACAGAACUGGAAGUUGUCUAAAUAAGAUGGAGAAGGUGCACUUUGUUGUUGUUAGUCAGAAAACACUAUAUGGACUCUCGGAGAGGAUUGCUGAUCUGCAUGAAUCUAUCGCACAAAAUAAGGCUGAACUAGGAGUUGUCUAAAUAGGAUGGAGAAUGUGCACUUUGUUGUUGGUAGUCAGGAAAGACAGUGUUAUGUUCAUAUGCUUGUUGAAAACCUGGAAGUAUUUCGAGUUACCUCAUCAUGGAGGAGAAGAUAUGCAAUAAAACAGUAUAUGAACUCUCGGAGAGGAUUGCUGAUCUGCAGGAAUCUAUCGCACAAAUGAGGCUGAACUGGGAGUUGUCUAAAUAGAAUGGAGAAGGUACACUUUGUUGUUGGUAGUCAGAAAAUACUAUAUGGACUCUCGAAGAGGAUUGUUGAGCAUGAAUCUAUCGCACAAAAGAAGGCUGAACUGGGAGUUGUCUAAAUAGGAUGGAGAAUGUGCACUUUGUUGUUGGUAGUCAGAUAAGACAGUGUUAUGUUAUAUGCUUGUUGAAAACCUGGAAGUCUUUCGAGUUACCUCAUCAUGCAGGAGAAGACAUGCAAUGGUCGUAUUUUGUUUUCCAGAUUUCACUAUUGCACUUUUAUUUCAAAAUCGCGUUGCAGUGAUCAUGUCUUUUUAUUUGUUUUUUCGGUAUAUAUACAGAAAACACUAUAUGAACUCUCGGAGAGGAUUGCUGAUUUGCAGGAAUCUAUCGCACAAAAGAAGGCUUGUCUAAAUAGGAUGGAGAAGGUGCACUUUGUUGUUGGUAGUCAGGUAAGACAGUGUUUUGUUCAUAUGCUUUUUGAAAACCUGGAAGUGUUUUUUUUCAGAUUUCACUAUUGCACUCGCUGCGCCUUAGCAACCGAUACACCAACUCUUAUGGCUGUCACGAUCUUGUGGAGCGUGACACC